RNAcentral lists this transfer RNA (592 nucleotides) under Acinetobacter baumannii 34654. RNAcentral's name for it is "partial 16S ribosomal RNA". The stretch from base 42 to 114 matches the Rfam family "tRNA". Lineage: Bacteria; Pseudomonadati; Pseudomonadota; Gammaproteobacteria; Moraxellales; Moraxellaceae. The record is from RNAcentral.
GAGCCCCGUCCGCUGCGCCACUUUUAUAAAACGCUUUUGCAGGGCGCUUAGCUCAGUUGGUAGAGCGUCUGCCUUACAAGCAGAAUGUCGGCGGUUCGAUCCCGUCAGCGCCCACCAUAAUUUGUGACCAUACUUUAUUUUUAAAGUAUUGCAAGUGCAGCGGUAGUUCAGUUGGUUAGAAUACCGGCCUGUCACGCCGGGGGUCGCGGGUUCGAGCCCCGUCCGCUGCGCCAUUCUCUUGAUUCCCUGAUCUAGAGGAUGUAAUGUAUAAAGACUGUGAUUGUUGUCUUUUUCAAUCAGGGCGCUUAGCUCAGUUGGUAGAGCGUCUGCCUUACAAGCAGAAUGUCGGCGGUUCGAUCCCGUCAGCGCCCACCAUAAUUUUUUCAAAUUUAAAAAAUUAAACACGCUAAUUUAUUUAGUGUUUUUUGCGUUUCUGCUCUUCCUAUUUUUUAUCUAUCUAUUUUAUCUUUUUUGGUUAACUCUCUCUUUUCCAUACUUAAUUUUUGAGUUCGAAUUAUUAUUACUAUCGAGUUUAACUAAAGCUGCCAUGCUGUAACGCAAUAGCAGCUUUGUAAACUAAGAUUAAUACUCA